RNAcentral lists this ribosomal RNA (1162 nucleotides) under uncultured bacterium. RNAcentral describes it as "bacterial SSU rRNA". It matches the Rfam family "Bacterial small subunit ribosomal RNA", at positions 65 to 1236 of the family's 1533-position model. The record is from RNAcentral.
CGCUGAGCCUGGUGCUUGCACCGGGUGGAUGAGUGGCGAACGGGUGAGUAACACGUGAGUAACCUGCCCCUGACUUCGGGAUAAGCCCGGGAAACUGGGUCUAAUACCGGAUACGACUGCCGGACGCAUGUCUGGUGGUGGAAAGUUUUUUCGGUUGGGGAUGGGCUCGCGGCCUAUCAGUUUGUUGGUGAGGUAAUGGCUCACCAAGACGACGACGGGUAGCCGGCCUGAGAGGGCGACCGGCCACACUGGGACUGAGACACGGCCCAGACUCCUACGGGAGGCAGCAGUGGGGAAUAUUGCACAAUGGGGGAAACCCUGAUGCAGCGACGCAGCGUGCGGGAUGACGGCCUUCGGGUUGUAAACCGCUUUCAGCAGGGAAGAAGCGCAAGUGACGGUACCUGCAGAAGAAGUACCGGCUAACUACGUGCCAGCAGCCGCGGUAAUACGUAGGGUACGAGCGUUGUCCGGAAUUAUUGGGCGUAAAGAGCUCGUAGGUGGUUGGUCACGUCUGCUGUGGAAACGCAACGCUUAACGUUGCGCGUGCAGUGGGUACGGGCUGACUAGAGUGCAGUAGGGGAGUCUGGAAUUCCUGGUGUAGCGGUGAAAUGCGCAGAUAUCAGGAGGAACACCGGUGGCGAAGGCGGGACUCUGGGCUGUAACUGACACUGAGGAGCGAAAGCAUGGGGAGCGAACAGGAUUAGAUACCCUGGUAGUCCAUGCCGUAAACGUUGGGCACUAGGUGUGGGGGGCAUUCCACGUUCUCCGCGCCGUAGCUAACGCAUUAAGUGCCCCGCCUGGGGAGUACGGUCGCAAGGCUAAAACUCAAAGGAAUUGACGGGGGCCCGCACAAGCGGCGGAGCAUGCGGAUUAAUUCGAUGCAACGCGAAGAACCUUACCAAGGCUUGACAUACACCGGACCGUCCUGGAAACAGGUCCUCUUCUUUGAAGCUGGUGUACAGGUGGUGCAUGGUUGUCGUCAGCUCGUGUCGUGAGAUGUUGGGUUAAGUCCCGCAACGAGCGCAACCCUCGUUCUAUGUUGCCAGCAUGUGAUGGUGGGAACUCAUAGGAGACUGCCGGGGUCAACUCGGAGGAAAGGUGGGGAUGACGUCAAAUCAUCAUGCCCUUUAUGUCUUGGGCUUCACGCAUGCUACAAUGGCUG